UGGCUCAGAUUGAACGCUGGCGGCAGGCCUAACACAUGCAAGUCGAGCGGAAACGACAACAUUGACUCUUCGGAGGAUUUGUUGGGCGUCGAGCGGCGGACGGGUGAGUAAUGCCUAGGAAAUUGCCUUGAUGUGGGGGAUAACCAUUGGAAACGAUGGCUAAUACCGCAUAAUGCCUACGGGCCAAAGAGGGGGACCUUCGGGCCUCUCGCGUCAAGAUAUGCCUAGGUGGGAUUAGCUAGUUGGUGAGGUAAUGGCUCACCAAGGCGACGAUCCCUAGCUGGUCUGAGAGGAUGAUCAGCCACACUGGAACUGAGACACGGUCCAGACUCCUACGGGAGGCAGCAGUGGGGAAUAUUGCACAAUGGGCGAAAGCCUGAUGCAGCCAUGCCGCGUGUAUGAAGAAGGCCUUCGGGUUGUAAAGUACUUUCAGUUGUGAGGAAGGGGAUAACGUUAAUAGCGUUAUCUCUUGACGUUAGCAACAGAAGAAGCACCGGCUAACUCCGUGCCAGCAGCCGCGGUAAUACGGAGGGUGCGAGCGUUAAUCGGAAUUACUGGGCGUAAAGCGCAUGCAGGUGGUUCAUUAAGUCAGAUGUGAAAGCCCGGGGCUCAACCUCGGAACAGCAUUUUGAACUGGCAGACUAGAGUACUGUAGAGGGGGGUAGAAUUUCA
Molecule: ribosomal RNA, 672 nt
Filed under: uncultured Vibrionaceae bacterium
Lineage: Bacteria; Pseudomonadati; Pseudomonadota; Gammaproteobacteria; Vibrionales; Vibrionaceae
Description: bacterial SSU rRNA
Rfam family: Bacterial small subunit ribosomal RNA
Source: RNAcentral